Non-coding RNA from Paramuricea clavata, 3165 nucleotides. The record is from the annotation of a GenBank genome assembly. NCBI's taxonomy places the organism in Eukaryota, Metazoa, Cnidaria, Anthozoa, Malacalcyonacea, Plexauridae.
GAUUGCAAAUUGCUCCGAGCAAAUUACACGCAAGUAUUCAACUGUCAUUUUUUCAAGCUCCUAUCACUCCCGUGUUGGGGAAAGGGAAUAACAAAUCAAAAGGACUAAUAUUGUGCCUACCACUUGACAAAUUAAAGGUAAACUGGAAUGUAUAGAGGAUAUUUAUACAUGGUUGUGCGGAAAUAUGUAAUUUAUUUCGAGUGUUGAAGAGAACUAUUGCUAACGAGUGAGCGUAGCAAAUUGCAAGUUGUUCCAUUAUGUGAUUUAAUAAUCUAAAUUUUUUAGUAAGGUCAUGGACAUAUUGUAAUUAUUAUGAGUAUUUACUAUUUUAUCUUCGUAUCAAACCAAAUAUAUAGCAUUGCGAGCUUUAAUUGGUAUUAAACUCUGCCAGUUUGAGAACAUAUGUUUACAUAUUUAACUACCGCAAAAUAAAUCCCUCUUUGGCACUGAAUUUUGCAUGUUAUUUAGUAUUUUUGUAUCACGUUAAGAUCAAAAUGGACAUAUUUCUUGAAUAAUACUUUUAAUCUGUGAAAUGAUAUAUAUAAAAAUAUUAGUCCUCAUACUUCGUUUUGGAUUUGUUACUCAGUUUUGUGAUAGAUAGGGGUACCAAAGCCUUGAUAUUUCCAGAGGUAUUAAAAUACAAAAUUAGCCUGUGACAGUAUGCUCCUGAUUUUACUUCAUACUCGAUUUGGAGCAACACAAGUUCUACAACAAGAACGUACACGAUGUACUGUGCAAUUAUAAAACGUCAUAUUUAUAGAUAUUUGAUUGACAUGUUUACGCCAUGCAUUUCAUACCGCACGGGUUUUCCCUGAGUUUUUGUAAACAGGACCUGCAUUUCCGGCAAUUGUUUUAUGGUUGAAUCUUCACGAAACAAUUACAAAUUUUAAAUAGACACGCAAAUUAUAUUUGCGUAUAUAUCUUGACUGUUAUUUAAUGGAGGCCUCUGAAACUAGGCUAAACUAUGAAAAUAAAGCAUAGGAUAAACGUAGCCCUGUUGUUUUAAAUGUCAGAAACUAUUAUUAGCUCAUGACUCCAUGUACAGACGUCUAAUCCCACGUCUUUAAUAAAUCCACACAUUUUACAGCCUUAAUUAAUUAUUUUCUUUAAAUUGUUCUUAAAAGUAAUGAACUGUAUGAAUAGCAGAUAUUUAGCUCCAGAUAAAAAGAAACAUUUUUGUAUGAUUGUUAUCAGUUGCCGUGAUUCGGGAUAUAAAUGGUUCUCGUCCUCUUAAUUUUAUAGAAGUCACUAGUUAAAUGUAAAUAUUAUAUCUGAAGCAGGCAUAUAAUUUCAACUAGCACAAUUUCGCACAAUUGCUGUAAAAAUGUCAUUUCGAGAAUGCACCAUCAAUGAAUGCGAAACAUUUCUACUUACUGCGAAAGCGGACAAAGUGGGACAAUUCAAUGCAAUCGCUCAUGUGCAACCACCGUAUUUCGCAGACACAAGCUCUCGUGACGAAUUUCGCCGUCGUGGAAUCAGACCUUAAGAUUCAGACACACCGGACGCGCUUCGACAACGCGACGCGAUUUUUCAGUAUAAUUAGUUUGAAAAACAGCCAAUGAGAGCAAAUCAGUUACAAACAUAUGUAGACCAAGUAACUUAGAAUGUUAUAGCGCUUCUAAAUAUUUGGAAUAUUUAAACUUGGAUUAAAUUUAACGGUCAGUGAAAAUCGAAAAAUCGCGUCGCGUUGUCGAAUCGCGUCCGGCGUGUCUGGACCUUUAAUGCGCAGAUACAUGUACGCGGUCGCGUACCUAUUUUUGUAGCUGGGGGGGGGGGCGGAGGAACUGAUGUCUAAUUCCAUGCGAAAACUUGGAACCCCCAAGACAAAAGUUGAUAUAAAAUUAUGACCCCCUAUUUUUUUACUGAAAAUUUUUUGACCCCUCAUCCUAACUAUUAAUGCAGACCUUGAAACCAUGCAUGAUUUUGAAAUCAUGCUACGGUCCUGCGUUUUCUUUCAUUCAUGUUUUCACACAAAAACGGAUAAAAACGAGGUCAAUUGACGAACGUCAUGGAAAUGUUUUCCUAUGGAAUGUGUGAACAGAGCAUCAAAUGAGUUUUGCUUCAUUGUUAUAGAUGACGAGAUAGUUGAUAGAUUCUAGACCUUUUUACCAUUCUUGAUCCAAAUAUUUCCAAAUUCUAUAAAAUUAUAUUGGUGAUUUUUUCACUGAUUUUUAUGACCCCCUCCAUUUAUACCAAAACUAUAAAAAGACCCACCCCUUUGAAGCAUGUCAAAAUUGGCUGACCCACCCCCAAAUUCCUCCUGCCCCCCCCCCAGCUAAAAAAUGAAUGCUCCCUAUAAAUUCAAUAUAUUUUUGAACCAGUCCAUAUAUUGUUAUACACAAUGUAGUAUAGUUAAUUUGACCAUUGAGAAGUAAGGGUGUAUUUCAUUACACAGACACUGCUGAAUUUUAGGUUACAUGCCAUUGGAUUGAUAUAUAAAAAACACUUGUAAAACACACCCAUCUUGUUGAUAGAAUAGUUAUUUGCAGUAUACUAACUGUUGGCAUACUCUAUUUCAGGACUAUCAAUUGUUUUUGUCACUGGCAGUCUUUGAAAUACAAUCUUGCUCUGUGGCCUUUACUGACAAGUUGGCUUUUACUACAUAUGUGGCACUGACACUUCUUUAAUUAAUGCACCAGUCAAUGUAAACCCCCCAACCGGGGAGGGGCAGGGAUUUUGACUUGGAGGGGUAGUAAAAGAGCGAAAUUAUCCCCACCCAUAACGAGCGAAAUUAUCAUAGAUCAGCAAUAGAAAAUCAAAUUCAUUUAUGUUGUUGUAUUUAAACUUUUCUUGUCAAGAAAACUAAAACAGCAACGCAGGAUAUAUAUGUUAACCACCGUCCAAGUCAUCCAUCAUCGGGACAAAUUUAUAAUCAAAACUGACCACUUUCCCCUCUAAACCUCCCGCCCCUCCCCGGUUGGGGGCAGGGAUUUACAUUGACUGGUGCAUAACUAGAUGAUUGCAUGAAGUAUUGCAUGGAAGUUGGUUUAUAAUUAGUUUAUGAAUAAACUCACACUUUCAUUAUAAUGGUUGAUCGAAGAUAUCAAAUGCAUUUGAUUGGUUGAUGGUCCCUUAAUGGUAAUGGUAGUCAAAUAUGAACCUAUAUAAUGUCAUCAAUAUACUGGAAAAGUAUCAAAUUAAAUUUUAAUUGUCAAUGUUGUGGAA